Molecule: long non-coding RNA, 1409 nt
Organism: Ailuropoda melanoleuca (giant panda)
Lineage: Eukaryota; Metazoa; Chordata; Mammalia; Carnivora; Ursidae
Exons: 5
Source: RefSeq, a predicted model, not a curated record
UUCAGCUCUUUAGGAGGUGACUACAGCUUUCCUACAGUAUGAUCUCUUUCAACAUUGGCUGUGUCCCUGCCUUCUACCACUUCCAACUCAUGGAGAAGAUAAAGAAAAAGAAAUAAAAUACUUUUCAUUUCUUUGCUGUUGCUAUGGAGAAAAGAUGAGAAAGAUAAGAAGAAAAACUGCUGACCAUGGUUACCACUGGAAUAAGAUGUUGGAAGAAGUGGGAAAAGGCUGGCUUCAAUUUCUAGAUGUAAUUUACUUUAAGAGAGAUUAUCCAGGUAGUCCUGACCUAAUUGCGGGAGCCCUGUAAGCACAGAGUUUUCUUUGGCUGGAAGAAGAAGGAGGAGAAGACGGAGGGGAGGUAAACAGAAGAACAAGGGAAGAAGAAAUCAGAGAUUCAAAGAACACGAAGGAUUGAAUGUGCCAUUGCUGGUGUGAAGAUGGAGGGGACUACACGGAAUGAGUUCCUGGCUGCAGAAGUCUUUAUCUUGACACCCAGAUCGAGCAGAAUACAAAGGUCGCAAUGCCAAUUUCAUCUGAAACUUGUUUUGCAGUGUCAGAGUCUUGGUUUUUAGGAAAAGACUUGUGGUUGCUAUGGAACUGUUAAUAAUGAUUGCUGCCUGUACCUCAAUCUCUCAGACUCCCAAUCUCCGAUAUAAAAUCAUUUAGACCUGGGCUGUAGGGCAGUAAACAAACUUUCAAGCAAGAAUUAACUGGGCUUGGGCAUUCGUGUCUUAAUGUAGGAAAUGCCUUUCAUUAUAACCUUUACUUACACUAGGAGCUUGGCUACGUGGAAGGAGCCUCUAGUCUCCCGACAGUGGACUGAAACGCAUGAGCAGUGCUAAAAACAGAAACAUUUUGGGCUUUCAUCAUACAAUAAAUGUGAAAAACCUUUAUUUUGUGCAGAAGUGGCCUUAGCGUGGAGCUUUUAUUUUCAUGCAUAAAAAGAAAUUCAGCCAUAUACUAGAUUCCUAAGUGGAAAGAGGAAAAUAUUCCUGUUGAAAUAUAUGUCUGUAUAUUUUAAAAAUAAAAUCUUGCAGUAAAGUGACAUCUUUGCUAUAUUUCUGUGAGAUUUGUGAUCCAUGUAAUAGACGCUUCCUACUCCUGAAUUAUAUUUCUGAGUAAGGAUCUCAGUGCUUAUUAAUGUAUAACCAAUCUUUGGGGGAAAACUAAUCCGGCUCUUGAGCUCCAGGCACAUAAAGUUAGGAACAGGUUAUUGGGUGGGUAGAAAGAAGACAUAUCUAAUUUGGGGACUUUUCAGCCUCACCAGUAUGCAAAUAAUUCAACAAUAAUACAGAAUAAAUAGCUUCCAUUUCCACAACUGCUGCUCUCUCUAAUCCCUACAGUAUGUGUUUUCCAACAAUCAUCUGGCCUAAUUCGCUGUUUUAUUGCUGAGAAUUUUAAUGCUUCGA